This is a non-coding RNA of Procambarus clarkii (red swamp crayfish), 474 nucleotides long. The record is from RefSeq and is a predicted model, not a curated record. Lineage: Eukaryota; Metazoa; Arthropoda; Malacostraca; Decapoda; Cambaridae.
GGGAGAAAGCAGGGCAAUGCUGUUCGAUUGGACAUUGUCUGAGUUGGGUGUUCCAGAUAAAGGUAAAGUUUGUGUACAAUGUACAAAUUGUGAGGCAAGCAUCAAAUGUGAAGACUGUUUUGCAUUUUUGUGUCACAUUUGUGACCAAAUGCAACAUUUUCUCAUGGCUUUCCACCACAGAUUAUAUUGGAAAAAUGGCUUUUAUGAGCCAUUAGACCCGACACAAACUGUGUGCCCUGAAGGAAAUAUCUUUCACUGGAAACCUGUUGUACCAGCCCAACCACCAAAUUCUUGCCCCAACUGCACAGAUUGCAAGUUUAAAAUUCAAGCUCCAGCAAUCUCUGCAUCUUCAUCACUAUAAUGGGAAGGUAUGACCUCUAUACUCCAAUCUAUACAUGCCACUGUGGAUAUGAGCAUCAACAACUAGGCAAGACCAUGCACAAGUCUGGUUUCUAUUCAUCAUUAGGAAGAGCA